UUGAGUACCAUAAAUUGUGCGUCCAGUUCAGCCCACUGGACUCCAGGGGUACACUGGCUGCAAACAGCAGCACCAUUGGUAGUGGAUAUGGCCUUUUGCUUGUGUGGGUUGCACUUAGGGAUUUGGUCAUUU
Fukomys damarensis (Damara mole-rat) is the source of this 132-nucleotide non-coding RNA. The record is from Rfam. Lineage: Eukaryota; Metazoa; Chordata; Mammalia; Rodentia; Bathyergidae.